Molecule: ribosomal RNA, 497 nt
Filed under: uncultured bacterium
Lineage: Bacteria
Description: partial 16S ribosomal RNA
Rfam family: Bacterial small subunit ribosomal RNA
Source: RNAcentral
GAUGAACGCUGGCGGCAGGCCUAACACAUGCAAGUCGAGCGAACAGACGAGGAGCGUGCUCUCCUGACGUUGGCGGCGGGCGGAUGAGUAACGCGUGGAUAACCUACCUAUAAGACUGGGAUAACUACGGAAGACCAGUACCAAUAACGGAUAAUAUAUUCAACAGCUUGGAUCAAUAGCUAAAGAGGGUUUUGCUGUCACUUAUAGAUGGUUCCGCGUCGCAUUAGUUAGGUGGUAAGGUAACGGCUUACCAAGGCGACGAUGCGUGGCCGACCUGAGAGGGGGAUCAGCCACCCCGGAACUGAGACACGGUCCAGACUCCUACGGGAGGCAGCAGUGGGGAAUGUUCCACAAUGGGAGGAAGCCUGACGUAGCACCGCCGCGUGGGGGAAGAAGGUCUUCGGCUCGUAAAACUCUGUUAUUAGGGAAGAACAAAAGUGUAAGUAACUAUACACGUGUUGACGGUACCUAAUCAAUAAGCCCCGGCUAACUACGUG